CGGUGUAUACGAGAACAAGGACAACACGCUGCAAGUGUAUCACGCUCGGCUGCUGGACCGCGGCAGGUGUAACAACGUGACGCAGCGGUUCGGCGUCACCGUCACUGACAACUUCAUCUGCCUCACGCAGACCGGCAGAAGAGCUCCUUGCACUCGUGACACAGGAGCGCCUGCAGUCAGUGACGGUGUAUUGUGGGGAAUGGCCUCGUGGGGAAUACGAAAACUAUGCGGCACGGAGCGGUUUCCAGCAAUGUUCUCGUACUUAGCAUCGCAAUCCAACAUGGACUUUAUAAUGAACGCGACCAGGGUCCUGAUGGCAGACGAGCGAUAUUACCCCUUCCUGGACAAGCGCCCGCGGAUGCACAUCACAACCACCACUACCACGCCACCUACUCUGCCUUAUUGAUACCCUGGUACUUCUGUAAUAUAUUAAUAAAAUUAUCAUAGUA
This is a long non-coding RNA of Manduca sexta (tobacco hornworm), 449 nucleotides long. RefSeq lists it as uncharacterized. Lineage: Eukaryota; Metazoa; Arthropoda; Insecta; Lepidoptera; Sphingidae. The transcript has 3 exons. The record is from RefSeq and is a predicted model, not a curated record.